Molecule: ribosomal RNA, 373 nt
Filed under: uncultured organism
Description: bacterial SSU rRNA
Rfam family: Bacterial small subunit ribosomal RNA
Source: RNAcentral
CGUAGGGUGCGAGCGUUGUCCGGAAUUAUUGGGCGUAAAGGGCUCGUAGGCUGUUUGUCGCGUCGGGAGUGAAAACAUCCAGCUUAACUGGGUGCUUGCUUUCGAUACGGGCAGACUUGAGGUAUGCAGGGGAGAAUGGAAUUCCUGGUGUAGCGGUGAAAUGCGCAGAUAUCAGGAGGAACACCGGUGGCGAAGGCGGUUCUCUGGGCAUUACCUGACGCUGAGGAGCGAAAGUGUGGGGAGCGAACAGGAUUAGAUACCCUGGUAGUCCACACCGUAAACGUUGGGCGCUAGGUGUGGGACCUAUUCCAUGGGUUCCGUGCCGUAGCUAACGCAUUAAGCGCCCCGCCUGGGGAGUACGGCCGCAAGGCUA